Molecule: long non-coding RNA, 640 nt
Organism: Zingiber officinale
Lineage: Eukaryota; Viridiplantae; Streptophyta; Magnoliopsida; Zingiberales; Zingiberaceae
Exons: 3
Source: RefSeq, a predicted model, not a curated record
AUCAAGUAAAGCAAGACAGAGAUUGAAGAAGAUUGAGAAGUGCAAUAUGUUCUGAAGCAAUACCUCCCUCUUGUUCUUACAUUUGUUUGGUUGCUCUCGACAUCCAGUCGUCGACUCUCAGAAGUGUCGAAGCACCGACUCUGCUUCCAUUCGGGUCAAGGGCUCCUCGCCGACUCUCGACAAAGCACUUGAUGACUCGUUACUCUGCUCGGCUCGUGCAACCACCAGCGGCAUCUGAAAAGAGCUCGGGAAAUUGGCUUGUAACAGUCGACAACUUGAGAUUAUCUUCUCAAGCCACUGUAACGGUAAGUCACCCUGUGCAUUUGGCACAAACUCAAAAGUAUGAAACAGAAUUUCUGAAACGAUCACAAAGAUUGUAACAUGUUUACAUCCAACAAGAACUGUUCAAUCUAGGAAGAUGACAAAAGAUCUAGCGCUUCUCAUUCAUGGAUCCCGCAUCACUCGAGAAAAGUAUCUGAUCACCCAAGAGUUUAUUGAUGCGGUGACAUCUAAGCUGAGAGCUAGGUUUUCUUCGUAAAUCCCUUUGCAGCCAACAUAGUUAUUCACUCUGCCAUGAGGCUGAAUUUGCAAGUUCCUGAAACUAGGAGUUGGUGAAGGUUCGCUACUUAGUUACUUUAAA